CGGGUGAGUAACACGUGGGUAAUCUGCCCUGCACUCUGGGAUAAGCCUGGGAAACUGGGUCUAAUACUGGAUAUGGCCUUUCUCCUUAUGGGGUUUGGUGGAAAGUUUUUCGGUGUAGGAUGAGCCCGCGGCCUAUCAGCUUGUUGGUGGGGUGAUGGCCUACCAAGGCGACGACGGGUAGCCGGCCUGAGAGGGUGAUCGGCCACAUUGGGACUGAGAUACGGCCCAG
Molecule: ribosomal RNA, 229 nt
Filed under: uncultured Actinomycetales bacterium
Lineage: Bacteria; Bacillati; Actinomycetota; Actinomycetes; Actinomycetales
Description: partial 16S ribosomal RNA
Rfam family: Bacterial small subunit ribosomal RNA
Source: RNAcentral